ACUCAAAUGAAUUGACGGGGACCCGCACAAGCGGUGGAGCAUGUGGUUUAAUUCGACGAUAAGCGAGGAACCUUACCAAGGCUUGACAUGUAGCUGCAUCUUCUAGAGAUAGAAGCGCCUUCGAGGGUGCUACACAGGUGCUGCACGGUUGUCGUCAGCUCGUGCCGUGAGGUGUUCACUUAAGUGUGAUAACGAGCGCAACCCCUAUUACCAGUUACAAGUGUCUGGUGAAACUGCCGGCGUUUAAGCCGGAGGAAGGUGGGGAUGACGUCAAAUCAGCGUGGCUCUUACGCCUUGGGCGACACACGUGCUACAAUGGGAUGGAACAAAGGGACGCCAACCAGCAAUGGGGAGCAAAUCCUAGAAAACAUCCCCCAGUUCGGAUUGAGGGCUGCAACUCGCCCUCAUGAAGCCGGAAUCGCUAGUAACCGUAGAUCAGCCUCGCUACGGUGAAUACGUUCUCGGGUUUUGUACACACCGCCCGU
RNAcentral lists this ribosomal RNA (485 nucleotides) under uncultured bacterium. Its description in RNAcentral is "partial 16S ribosomal RNA". It matches the Rfam family "Bacterial small subunit ribosomal RNA", at positions 899 to 1397 of the family's 1533-position model. The record is from RNAcentral.